AGUGAACGCUGGCGGUAGGCCUAACACAUGCAAGUCGAACGGCAGCACAGUAAGUGCUUGCUCUUACGGGUGGCGAGUGGCGGACGGGUGAGGAAUACAUCGGACUCUACUUUUUCGUGGGUGAUAACGUAGGGAAACUUACGCUAAUACCGCAUACGACCUACGGGUGAAAGCAGGGGAUCUUCGGACCUGUUGCGAUUGAAUGAGCCGAUGUCGGAUUAGCUAGUUGGCGGGGUAAAGGCCCACCUAGGCGACGAUCCGUAGCUGGUCCGAGAGGAUGAUCCGCCACACUGGAACUGAGACACGGUCCCGACUCCUACGGGAGGCACCAGUGGGGAAUAUUGGACAAUGGGCGCAAGCCUGAUCCAGCCAUACCGCGUGGGUGAAGAAGGACUUCGGGUUGUAGAGCCCUUUUGUUGGGAAAGAAAAGCAGCAGGUUUAUACCCCACUGUUCUGACGGUACCCAAAGAAUAAGCACCGGCUAACUUCGUG
This 492-nucleotide ribosomal RNA is filed under the name uncultured bacterium. Its description in RNAcentral is "partial 16S ribosomal RNA". It matches the Rfam family "Bacterial small subunit ribosomal RNA", at positions 29 to 507 of the family's 1533-position model. The record is from RNAcentral.